RNAcentral lists this ribosomal RNA (510 nucleotides) under Triticum aestivum (bread wheat). RNAcentral describes it as "partial small subunit ribosomal RNA". The record is from RNAcentral. Lineage: Eukaryota; Viridiplantae; Streptophyta; Magnoliopsida; Poales; Poaceae.
AUGGAAGCCGCAGCAGCAGCAGCCUUGCUAGCUGCAUAUGCUGCGUCCAUCGCCCGGCUCCUGCAAGCGAGAGGCCGGCCGGCCAGUGUGGCAGCGGCAGGGGUGGUGGUGAUGAUGGAGGUAGCGGCGAUGGAAAAUGAAGUUGCAUCAAAAGUGGAUCCCUCCCAGCGAGCCCGGCAGCGAGCUCAGAUGUGCAUUGUUAUUGUUACCACUCAGUACUCGCUCGCUCACCAGUCGCCUGUACGUGUAUUUACUCCCCUCCUCCCUCCCUCUCUCUCUCUCUCGACAUGUUGGCUCUCUGGUUUUCUUUGCUUGCUGUGUGUGCGUGUGUGGCGUGGAAGUCACGGGCCUGCGUCGAGAGGUGCAAGUCACCAGGCACAGCGCAGGGAAAGUAUCUUUGGCUGUUUCGCAACUAGACAUGUGUACAUGUCUGCGGCGUGCAGGGCUGUGCAUUUGCAUGGGGUGAGUGAGAGAGAGGAAGAAGAGGGAGAAGAACAAUUUGGUCACUAA